UCCCUAUACGACGACUUUCCGCGAAGAUCAACCCGAUGUCGUAAACGUCCAACUUAAUUAAAAAUGUACACGAGUGCCCGCGCGUUCAAUGCCAACUUGGAGCGCACGAUUGAGCUUUGCUCCACACUGUCGAGUCAACUAAAAAGCGUCACUCCCGGGAGGAAUUGUGGACACAAACGGUGCUAAAGUCAAUUAAAAAAUAUAUUCAAUGAUGACAAGAGACUUAUUCGUAAGGUUUAUGGAAGCCGCCAGCGCCUCGCGGUUGCCUCCGCCCCCCAUUUAUUAUCCGCGAGGCCUAUCCCACCAAGCACCGAGCUCGAGUUCCAGACGUGGCCGCCAUUUGGUAGCUCAUUUCGGGAAGGAGAGACGCCGACGACGCGCUCCACCUCGAUGGAGGUGGAGCUUCCUUCCGGAGCUCCUCAUACUCCUGAUGGAUGCCGGAGCGCUGAAGCCUGCCAAGAUGAGUCAGCAGCUCCUGAGGACGCAUGGAUUCGGGUCCCGGGAUGUGAACGGAAGAGUCCUCCAGGGGGAUGCCCACCAGUUCAUCCACGGGGUCCACGCGACCAUUUUGCCCCGCUAGAAGCUGCUGGUUGCAGCUAAAGGCAUCCAAGGGAAGAAGGCCGCCCAGGUGCUGGGGUAGGCAGUCCUUGGGGAGGUGUUGGCGGAGCUCGGCCAUCUUCACCAUUUGAACCUUCGGGUUUGUGUAGAGUAAAAAUCGAUAUAUUGCUUUAACCUUUUGUAGAGCACUUAUUUAACUCACAGGCUGCCAUUGCUGUCAGCCUUGCCAGUCAAAAUGCAUUGGAUGUCUCGCGCUGUCAAUGGCACUGAAGCAUGAGCGUCUACAGCCAGUCCUCAAGAGUUUAAAUGAAUUUGACAUCUAUUGUUGUCAAUGACACUGUGUCAAUCACACGUAACUCGAGGUGAAAAGUGACAAUAUCAGCGCAUUGCCUACAUAGGAAUAUCGACUCUAGCAAUAUGGCCGCCAUGUAAGUGCGUCGGUUCGACAUACUUACGAUAUGUUGAGUUAAAAAUAAUCCCACAAGUAAUUUUUAUAUGACAGUGUUGAUGCAAAAAAAUCAUUCCAAAUGGAAAAUAUUAUUUUUACAAUAAAACUAAAACAUUCUUGUUGCUUACCCGUUCCCGAAGUUUCUCCUUCAGUAGAAGACUGAGCAGGUUGUAGGGAACCCGAAACCACACCGGGGCCCCAACAAUCAACACUUUCUUCAGCCUGGCGGGGAACGCUCCCUGGUAGACAAAAAUAAGAAUUAAACAUGGAAAAGUAUGGGUACUAGGCCAGAAUUAAAGGCGUUGUAAUGUACUUUUACAGUACAGGUAGUCCCCAGGUUACGAACUAGUUCCGUUCCUACGCUGGCGACGUAACCUCGAAUUUCAGCGUAAAUCGGAAUUAACCCUUUAAGUACACCCAAAUACCUCCUAAAUCUCAAAAUAACUGUCCCAAAACAUGUAUUUUUACGUCAGAUUCAUAAAAUCAAGUAAAAAAUACUGCUCAGCCCGUGCAGUUUAGUUUCUCUACCUUCUUGAAAUAUUAACUGGCGUUCACCCCCGCUUCCUAAAGUGAAAGCAACGCUCGACACUAACAGAAAGAAGCGCUGCUAUGACGUCAAAAAAGUUUGAGUGCAACAUAGGAAAGCUGACCGCACAUAUAGUACUGUAAAAUGAAAUACCAGGUAUGCAUUGCAAUCAGGGGUCGCGUUAACCGGAAAUUUUCCGUCGUUGACCGGUUUUUUAAAACGGUGACGGAAAAAACUGAAGUCCGUCAGUCAUUUUGACAGGUUGCAAUUCACACCCCAGACCACAGGGUGGCACAUUAAUUAGCUAUUGUCUCUCUUAAUGCAUGACGUCGUUGGCUAUUCUGUCAGAAUAUUGUAGUGUAACCGGGGUCUGGCGGGGGCACCGUGAUUGACACAUCAACGCGAGGUUCUUAUUGGUGCACCCGGUGUGCUAGCGCGUGAUCCAAUUGGUGGACUAGAUUGCCGCCCGUGGUUUGACAAGUUUUCGAGGUACCGGUUUACUUCCUUAUGUCUUCCUUCCCCUUCCGUUUCCGCCUGUUUACCAUUGAAGUCAAUGGCGGUGGAAUAGAAGUUGGAAGGUCUUUAUACAAGAUCCCGGGAAUGUUAUUUUGAUGUAGGCGGGUGGAGAACCAAGCCAAGGCCUCCAUGCUUCGUACCAUGUCGAUUUCCAAACCAUGGGUGCUCGUACUCGUCAUAAGGAGAUGGACAAAACUGACAGCUCCUGCAGUCAUGCCCCCGCUGUUAUGGAAGCUGGGAAAUGCUGUUAUAAAAGAGAAGACAACUUGACUUGUACGUUGAUGGACAUAUAUCGAACAUAUAUAGUUUGCGUUCCACAAUGAUGAUGACAGCUCGACUCCCGGGAGAGGCCGAGAGAGGGAGGAAUUGUGACAGACGGUGGUUCGCCGAGAUCGCCGUGAUCCAACUACGAACUUGUGAACGGUAGCAUUUUUAAAUAUAUGCUAUUGGAGCUGGAAUUACCGAAGAGGAGAGCGAGAUGGACUGCUGUAAUUCGACAAGAAAUCGGGGCACCAAACGAUCACCACAGACUAUGUAGUAGUCAUUUUAUAUCUGGUAAGAUGCAUUUAAUAUAUAUUUAGAAGAUUUUGGGCUGACAACCACAAUUAAGAUCAUUGUGUGACGUUGGUGAUUGGGGUCUAUAUGGUUGCCUCUUUUUCUUUGGGAGUGGAGUUGUUUUGUUGGUGUUGUUGGCGGUAAGCAGAGUAAAAAGAGGGAGAAAAAUACAACUUCAGUGUCUAAUUUUUCGCCGCCAAGCAAGCGUUACAAAAUUAAAAAUGAAUGAAAACUAAAUACUAUUGAAUAUGUCAUCAUUAUCAUUUUAAAAAUUUCAGUGACUGGUAAAAAUAGAUUAUGACCGGAUUUUUAUGACCCUGUCAGUCAAAAUGACAGACAACGAAAAUGUCUAGCGCAACCUCUGAUUGCAAUAUAGAGAUCAACCAUUUAGAUUAAUUAGAGUUAAUAAAUAACUAAAUUAAAUGACAAACCAUAUACUGUACUUACCAUCGUUGCUAAGAGGCGGCGGAUGAGAAUAUGUUACGCAACACAAAAAAUAAACACUGAAGACAAAACGGCUGUCGAGACUCUGGCGUGGUAAAGUCAAAAUAACGUAAGUAUGGUACGUCGUAACCCGGGUAAUACCUGUACAUUUAUUCUGCUAUCAGUAAAUAAUAAACCUUAAGUAAGUUGAGAAUCUUCUUGCUCAAGUCCAGCUCAAAAUUUGUGUAGGUGGAACCGGCCAUGUCAUAAAUGAACACCAAGCCAUUCCUUUGGGUCUCAAAGCUGAGGACAACAAUAAAUAUGAAUGAAUAGUAAUAAAAACUUUCAAAUGAAAUUUCAAACUCUCUCAAUCUAUUCUAACUUUCUUGAACCAAUUUAAAAUCAGCCUCUCGGGGCCCAAAUUUUUUCUUUCCUCUGGUUUUGUACAUUCUGUAUAAAUACAACUGAAACCUUUAUGGGGUAAGUGACUCUUUUUCGUAAUUAAAAAUAACAACAACAACAACAAAGUUUGGUUCAUGUUUACCACAAUAUUAGACCUACAGUGGGGUAAAUAAGUAUUUAGUCAACCACCAAUUGUGCAAGUUCUCCUACUGUACUUGA
Corythoichthys intestinalis (scribbled pipefish) is the source of this 3647-nucleotide long non-coding RNA. RefSeq lists it as uncharacterized. The transcript has 3 exons. NCBI's taxonomy places the organism in Eukaryota, Metazoa, Chordata, Actinopteri, Syngnathiformes, Syngnathidae. The record is from RefSeq and is a predicted model, not a curated record.